RNAcentral lists this ribosomal RNA (497 nucleotides) under uncultured bacterium. RNAcentral describes it as "partial 16S ribosomal RNA". It matches the Rfam family "Bacterial small subunit ribosomal RNA", at positions 28 to 507 of the family's 1533-position model. The record is from RNAcentral.
GACGAACGCUGGCGGCGUGCCUAAUACAUGCAAGUUGAGCGAUGAAGAUUGGUGCUUGCACCAAUUUGAAGAGCAGCGAACGGGUGAGUAACGCGUGGGGAAUCUGCCUUUGAGCGGGGGACAACAUUUGGAAACGAAUGCUAAUACCGCAUAACAACUUUAAACAUAAGUUUUAAGUUUGAAAGAUGCAAUUGCAUCACUCAAAGAUGAUCCCGCGUUGUAUUAGCUAGUUGGUGAGGGAAAGGCUCACCAAGGCGAUGAUACAUAGCCGACCUGAGAGGGUGGUCGGGCAAAUUGGGACUGGGACACGGCCCAAAAUCCUACGGGAGGCAGCAGGAGGGAAGUUUCGGAAAUGGAAGAAAGUCUGACCGAGAAACGCCGCGUGAGUGAAGAAGGGUGUCGGAUCGGAAAAAUCUGUUGGUAGAGAAGAACGUUGGUGAGAGUGGAAAGCUCAUCAAGUGACGGUAACUACCCAGAAAGGGACGGCUAACUACGUG